RNAcentral lists this ribosomal RNA (490 nucleotides) under uncultured bacterium. RNAcentral's name for it is "partial 16S ribosomal RNA". It matches the Rfam family "Bacterial small subunit ribosomal RNA", at positions 30 to 507 of the family's 1533-position model. The record is from RNAcentral.
AUUGAACGCUGGCGGCAGGCCUAACACAUGCAAGUCGAACGGUAACAGGAAGAAGCUUGCUUCUUUGCUGACGAGUGGCGGACGGGUGAGUAAUGUCUGGGAAACUGCCUGAUGGAGGGGGAUAACUACUGGAAACGGUAGCUAAUACCGCAUAAUGUCGCAAGACCAAAGAGGGGGACCUUCGGGCCUCUUGCCAUCGGAUGUGCCCAGAUGGGAUUAGCUAGUAGGUGGGGUAACGGCUCACCUAGGCGACGAUCCCUAGCUGGUCUGAGAGGAUGACCAGCCACACUGGAACUGAGACACGGUCCAGACUCCUACGGGAGGCAGCAGUGGGGAAUAUUGCACAAUGGGCGCAAGCCUGAUGCAGCUACGCCGCGUGUAUGAAGAAGGCCUUCGGGUUGUAAAGUACUUUCAGCGGGGAGGAAGGGAGUAAAGUUAAUACCUUUGCUCAUUGACGUUACCCGCAGAAGAAGCACCGGCUAACUCCGUG